This 325-nucleotide ribosomal RNA is filed under the name uncultured eukaryote. RNAcentral describes it as "partial 18S ribosomal RNA". It matches the Rfam family "Eukaryotic small subunit ribosomal RNA", at positions 1470 to 1796 of the family's 1831-position model. The record is from RNAcentral.
CCCUUAGAUGUCCUGGGCCGCACGCGCGCUACACUGAUGCAUUCAACGAGUUUCACCUUGGCCGAGAGGCCUGGGCAAUCUUUUAAACCUGCAUCGUGAUAGGGAUAGAUUAUUGCAAUUGUUAAUCUUGAACGAGGAAUUCCUAGUAAACGCAAAUCAUCAAUUUGCAUUGACUACGUCCCUGCCCUUUGUACACACCGCCCGUCGCACCUACCGAUUGAAUGGUCCGGUGAAGCCUCGGGAUUGUGGCCAGUUCACUUUAUUGGGAGUUGGCUGUGAGAACUUGUCUAAACCUUAUCAUUUAGAGGAAGGUGAAGUCGUAACA